RNAcentral lists this ribosomal RNA (253 nucleotides) under uncultured bacterium. Its description in RNAcentral is "partial 16S ribosomal RNA". It matches the Rfam family "Bacterial small subunit ribosomal RNA", at positions 524 to 776 of the family's 1533-position model. The record is from RNAcentral.
UACGGGGGGGGCUAGCGUUGUUCGGAAUUACUGGGCGUAAAGGGCGCGUAGGCGGUACGACAAGUCGGGAGUGAAAGCCCGGGGCUCAACCCCGGAACGGCUUUCGAAACUGUCGAACUAGAGUGCGGAAGAGGCAACUGGAAUUCCCAGUGUAGCGGUGAAAUGCGUAGAUAUUGGGAAGAACACCUGAGGCGAAGGCGGGUUGCUGGGCCGACACUGACGCUGAGGCGCGAAAGCCAGGGGAGCAAACGGG